This 843-nucleotide long non-coding RNA is filed under the name Nicotiana benthamiana. RNAcentral's name for it is "long non-coding RNA (NBEN_LNC015593)". The record is from RNAcentral. Lineage: Eukaryota; Viridiplantae; Streptophyta; Magnoliopsida; Solanales; Solanaceae.
CCAAACAUGUAACUGCUUAUUUAUUAAAUUAAUUUCAGCACUUAAAAGUACUUUUCAACACUUAAUAUUUAUCAGCUACUUCUAAUAAGCUAAUCCAAAUGGGCUGUAUGACUUCCCACAAUCCACUUACAAGAUUACACUGGAAUAUUUCUUACAAAACACGAUGACAAGCAAAUUUUGCGGCAUACAGAGGCUGUGUUUUCACAAAUAUUGAGUUUGUUGAAGGCUAUAUUUUCACAACAUGUAGGGAUGACUUGUGUCCGUAUGCAAAAAGAAAAAGACUAUAACAAGCAAGAAAGUCUUCAAUAUUUCUGCAAUUUUCCCAAGUACAUAGUACUCCAAUUUCAUUUUUCUUUUAAGAACUUAUUAUUAGAGCAGAAUUUUACAUUAUAUUUAACAGUACUCCAAUUUCAUUUUUCUUUUAAGAAAUUAUUAGAGCAGAACUUUACAGUAUAUUUAACUGUAAAGCAGCAUGGUGCAGAAUUGCAGAUUCCACAGCUUGAGGACUAUUCAUCCAAAAGUUCCAGGACCCUGAAACGGAUAAAAGGAAAGAAUAAUUCUUCUAAAACAUACAUGUGGGCAAAGAAUGAGACUGCUACAGCGUGUGGCCUUAAUUCCUAGCGUUCGACUUCUGCAUUAACUGGGUCACUAUAAAAAAUAGAACGUCAAAAGAAAACCAGAUAAAUCUGCUUCCACAGUUUGAGACAAAGAAUGAGACUGCUACAGCAUGCGGCCAUAAUUCCUAGCGUUCGACUUCUGCAUUCACUGGGUCACUAUAAAAAACAGAACGUCAAAAGAAAACCAAAUAAAUCUGCUUCCACAGUUUGAGUGAUCUCAAGAGGG